This 31-nucleotide non-coding RNA is filed under the name Mus musculus (house mouse). Lineage: Eukaryota; Metazoa; Chordata; Mammalia; Rodentia; Muridae. The record is from RNAcentral.
UGUCCAGAACUAGUAGAAGAUACACCUAUUC